UACGUAUGGGGCGAGCGUUGUUCGGAGUUAUUGGGCGUAAAGGGCGUGUAGGCGGCUCAUCAAGUCUGGUGUGAAACCCCUGGGCCUAACCCGGGGCAUGCGCUGGAAACUGGUGGGCUUGAGUUCUGGAGGGGAAGCUGGAAUUCCAGGUGUAGGGGUGAAAUCUGUAGAUAUCUGGAAGAACACCGGUGGCGAAGGCGAGCUUCUAUCCGCGGACUGACGCUGAGGCGCGAAAGCGUGGGGAGCAAACAGG
Molecule: ribosomal RNA, 253 nt
Filed under: uncultured Spirochaeta sp.
Lineage: Bacteria; Pseudomonadati; Spirochaetota; Spirochaetia; Spirochaetales; Spirochaetaceae
Description: partial 16S ribosomal RNA
Rfam family: Bacterial small subunit ribosomal RNA
Source: RNAcentral